Molecule: non-coding RNA, 27 nt
Filed under: Mus musculus (house mouse)
Lineage: Eukaryota; Metazoa; Chordata; Mammalia; Rodentia; Muridae
Source: RNAcentral
UGUAUGAAAAGAAUGGACUAAAAGCAU